RNAcentral lists this ribosomal RNA (253 nucleotides) under uncultured bacterium. RNAcentral describes it as "partial 16S ribosomal RNA". It matches the Rfam family "Bacterial small subunit ribosomal RNA", at positions 524 to 776 of the family's 1533-position model. The record is from RNAcentral.
UACGAAGGGGGCUAGCGUUGCUCGGAAUUACUGGGCGUAAAGCGCACGUAGGCGGAUCGUUAAGUCGGGGGUGAAAUCCCGGGGCUCAACCCCGGAACUGCCUUCGAUACUGGCGAUCUCGAGUCCGGAAGAGGUGAGUGGAACUCCUAGUGUAGAGGUGGAAUUCGUAGAUAUUAGGAAGAACACCAGUGGCGAAGGCGGCUCACUGGUCCGGUACUGACGCUGAGGUGCGAAAGCGUGGGGAGCAAACAGG